UAUAUAUAUAUAUAUAUAUAUAUAUAUAUAUAUAUUAGUAUGUGUUACGUUCAGUUGCACACGCCCGCACGUACACACACACACACACACACUCUGUUUGCGCGCUCGCAGAGACGCGAAGAAACAGCGAACACAAAGUUUGAACUUUGAGCACGGGUGGAGGGCGAACGGGAAAAAAUUCUUCAGGGGUUUUCAUUUUGGAGCUAAGGAGAAGCUUUCCACAAAAAACCAGCUGAAUCGGAAGUUUGUGCUUUUCGGAACUGCACCCAUUUAUCGUCUACAAAAGUUUUGCAAAAGCCACACUCUCUCUCUCUCUCUCUCUUUCUUUCUAGAAAGUUUGACUAAAAAUUAAAAUUCAAUCGUACAAACGAAUUUGACCUCAGCUCCAAUUUAACUUUUAUUCUCAAUUUAAACGCGACAUUUUUUAAGAUAUGUAGGAUUAUCUAAUCGGACAGUCGCAUUCAUACGCGAAUGUGUACUGAUCGAUGUCAGUCAACGCUUUGCUCCUAUUAGAAGAUACAGAGAGGUACAGGAGAGGACGGAGAUUAUUACAUCCUCACGGGAUAACACCUCUCGCGCGGAUCCUUGCGAUGUUUCUAACAUAAACAUACCUGGUGAUGACUAUACAUGAUAAUAACGUAAAUAUAGAUAAUAUUUGUCUGGAUCGUUUAAAAUAAAAUUAGGUGGAAAUAGAAUAAAUAGAAAAAAACUAGACAUGGACUAACAGAAACUAGACUUCAGAAACUAACAAGAGCUAUAACGGUGCGAUGAAAAGGCCUCUCAGAUAUCAUACCAACUAUUAUGCAUACGAGCAAUCGGCAAGGAUACACGACGGGCAUAACUGCGCAGGACCUCUACUCAAGUAUCGGAAAAAUGUUUAAUUACGUUUAGACUAAUUCAAGGUAAUAAAAGAUUCUAACGGCUCUAAAAUUAGAUAAAUUAAAGAUAUAAGGAGGACACAAAAGCCAAAAUGCUGAUGUUGUGCGCUAGAAUUUAAUCUUAUAUUUAUAUGCGACCGCAUAUUACGAUCGAAACGUUUCACUUUGUAAUUGACUUUUGUGAUUAAAUUCUAGUGCAACACCAGCAUUUUGGCUCUUGCGUCCUCCUUAUAUCUUUACGUUCAAGCUAACUUUACCAUAAGUAUUACUGUAAAUCGUUCCCCCCGCUGCUUUAUCUUAAAUAUGAAAAAUCAAUUUCCAUGAAGAAUUUUACAAAUACCUGAACAAUUUGGCAAGAAAUUUAAAUUCAAUCAGACAAAUAAGCAGACAAGAAAACAAAUUCAAUUAAACCUCAUUCUCAAUUUAGUAUCGGCAUUUUCGAAGAUACGACGAAAAAGAAUAGUCUUUGUCCGCGAGGGGACACGCGAAUCGGUCAGUGUAAAUCGGAGCUCGGCAUGACUUGCAAACUUCGACCGUUUUUCGACUUGUUCCACCUAGCGCUAUUCCUCUUACCUGACAAGGAGACUCAGGAUCAUGUAAUUUAUAAACAUAUAUAUUUCCAAUAACUGUUGGAAACGAAUGCUUACGAGUCACAUGUUCCUAAGUCUCGAGCGGCGCGCGAGAUGAGGAGGUAAGGAGAAUAGACGAAGCAAGAGUCGAAAGUCGGUCGAAAUAUACAACGCGUGCCGAACUCUUGUGUAAAUCAUCGUUUUGGACGAUGUUGGUGCAGAAAGGAAGAGGGGAGUAUAGAGACUGAGAUUAUUGCAUCCUCGCGGGAUGAGACCUCGCCGGAAUCCUUACGAUGCCGAGAUAUUGGCAGAGAAUAUUCAUCAUAGAUAGACUAUUAGAUAAGAUCGAUAUUGCGAGAAACAACUCGGAUCCAAUUUUCGCGACACAAGACCACGCAUAGACUGUUCCUUAUAACAUUUACUAGUUUUAAGGGAAAUGUAAUGAAUUACUAGUGUUAAGGGAAAUGUACUGAAUUAUUAGUGUUAAGGGAAAUGUAAUGAAGUUGAUUACAAAUAAGAGCUAGCUUGCACUACAACAUUGUAACACUAACGUUAGCAAGGAUGCGAGGCGGACUUAGGAUCCUCACACGAAUAUCGGGAAAUCGUCGGCCCGUGAUUCCUUUAAUUACAUUUGGCUAACAUUACAGAGUAAGAAAUUAUUACUGAAAGCCGACCUGUGCCCUUUUACACUUGAGAAAUCAGUUUUCAAUGCCGACAAGAAUUUCGCAAAGUUCACUAGACAAUUCAAUGAAAAACUGAGAAUCUCUAGGUCAUGUGACCAGCUGGCUGGCAUAAACAUAUACGGAUUUAGACAUUGCGACGCCAAUGCAGAACAGAUAGUUAUAUAUAUGUAUGGUUUUGCAUUGGCGUCGCAAUGUCCAAAUCCAUACAUAUUUAUGCCAGCUAAUCGCAGAGUAGCUUGGCGCUUCUCUUUACUAGAGGUUUUCUAAUACGAACCGAUCGGGAUAAAAAUUCGCUUUGGACCAUGUUCAUUUCCAUGUGGAGAGUAAUUGUGGACUAGACUAUUGAGAUUACUGCAUUUUCGUGGGAUGGGACCUCACCAGAAUCCUUGCAGUGCAUAUUUAUACGUGAAUGCAGGUGCUUCAUUGGAGUCGCGAUAUUGCGAGGAAACGCACGUUUCCAACUUUCGCAGCGCUUUCGUAGCACCCAAGAUCCCAAUAUAUAAAAGUUGAGGAAGUUUCAACAAUAUUGUACCGGUAACUAAGAGUAAAAGCUAGCGCUAAUUAAAAGUAAGAGCGUUCCCACGCAAUACGACGUCUAAAAUCGGGACAUAAGACGUCUGAAAGGCAUCUCAAAGACGUCGGAAUGUAAGAUGUCUAAAGAUAUCUUUAAAGCGCAUUCUACAAUAAACUAUUAGUCAUAAGUCGCAAGCAAAUUGACCAAUCACACUAUUUUUAAAAAUAAUCGACUGUGGUUGAUCAACUUGCUUAUCGCUAAUAGCUUAUUGUAAAAUGUACCUGAGACAUCUUUAAGAUGUCUUAUGUCCGGAUUUUAGAUGUUAUGUUAAGUUAUGCGUACUAACUGUAACAUUGUAAUAAGUACACCUGUAAAUAUUGAAUUGUAUUGCAGUAUCAUAGCAAGGAUACACCACAUGCGGACUUAACCGCGAGGAAUCUUGGCUCGGAGAAGUGACGCACAGUGGGACAAGUUCUUCUCAUAUUCUUCUCAAUAUUCAAUACCUAGGAAACGGCCAAUUAUAAUAAAAAAUAUAUAUAAGAAGCAAAGUCUCUCGUAGAGCCUCAAAAAAUGUAUUUAAUAGUAAUAACAGUUUGACCUUGGGUUCCCUAGGGUCGUACGAAGGUAAAUCGAAUAUUUUUAAUGGGAAUACCUAUUUUUCGUGAUUCUGAUUCUCGCGGAUAACAUCGAGAUCUUUACAAAAUAUACUUCUUACACAAGUCUAUGUAAUAACAUAAUAAUAACAAUAUAUUAUCACGCUUAUUUAUGCCCGUGUUGUCAACAGACGAGCACUAAAUUAUUUAAUUAUCCUUAUAGCAAAAUUAUCGCACAAUAACUAAUCUACAAAAUGUAUUUUUUCAAAAUAAUACGAGUUGAAGUGCUUCUAAUAGAUCCCAAAAACUAUACGUUGAUUUAAAUGUGAAAAUUUGAUCCAAACGGAGAGUUCAAAGAGACAUUGUUUAAAUUAUUGUUUAUUUAGACAAACAAAUUCAGUGUCACGUUUUCGUACAAAUAGGAACGUGUUUAUAUUAUUUCAAGCCACAAUAUAAAAAUUCAGUUUAUAUGUAAUUUAGGAAAUAUAUUCAUAAUUCUUUUUAUUGUA
Long non-coding RNA from Odontomachus brunneus, 3746 nucleotides. RefSeq lists it as uncharacterized. The record is from RefSeq and is a predicted model, not a curated record. Lineage: Eukaryota; Metazoa; Arthropoda; Insecta; Hymenoptera; Formicidae. The transcript has 2 exons.